UCCUGCAUAUAUUAGGUAUUUGUCCUAAUGUUCUCCCUCCCCUGCCCCCCACCCCCUGACAGGCCCUAGUGUGUGCUGUUUCCUUCCCUGUGUCCAUGUGUUCUCAUUGUUCAACAGGGAGAAUAUAUUUUUAAACAUGUUUGGAACAAAGUAGAUUCAUAAUAGUAGUUGCUGUCAUGAUUACCGCCAUCAUCACCAUCAUCCCCAGGUAUCACCAUGGGCUGGUCAGACGUGUGAAAGUGGCAGAAGAGAAGAAAUGUUGAAGGCUUUUGUUUCUUUCUUCAAUACACCUUGCCUCUUAUAAGAGGCUCUGCAAGAUUCCCUGUGAUGAUUCUACAUUUGCCAAAAUAAUAAGAGGAAGGACACUCUUCACUUGCUUGAUACUGCAGACAAAGUGGACACUGUGAACAUCACCAUGGGUGGGAGGAAGGCAGAACCUCCAACUGGUCCUGAUUGGUGAUAGUAAAAUGGAGACACUGAGACCCUGACCCUCUUGAGAGGUAAAGGGCGAGUUCUCCUUUCUCCUGCA
This is a non-coding RNA of Callithrix jacchus (white-tufted-ear marmoset), 529 nucleotides long. The record is from RefSeq and is a predicted model, not a curated record. NCBI's taxonomy places the organism in Eukaryota, Metazoa, Chordata, Mammalia, Primates, Cebidae.